UUCAAGGAAGUACUUUGUCCACGUGGACAGAAAACGCUUCCUUGAGGGCGCGCUUUGUAUCCACGUGGACAAAGCGCUUCCUUGAGA
This is a non-coding RNA of Gossypium hirsutum (cotton), 87 nucleotides long. NCBI's taxonomy places the organism in Eukaryota, Viridiplantae, Streptophyta, Magnoliopsida, Malvales, Malvaceae. The record is from Rfam.